This 429-nucleotide ribosomal RNA is filed under the name Bacteroidota bacterium. RNAcentral's name for it is "Bacteroidetes bacterium partial 16S ribosomal RNA". It matches the Rfam family "Bacterial small subunit ribosomal RNA", at positions 355 to 776 of the family's 1533-position model. The record is from RNAcentral. Lineage: Bacteria; Pseudomonadati; Bacteroidota.
UAGGGAAUCUUCCGCAAUGGACGCAAGUCUGACGGAGCAACGCCGCGUGAGUGAAGAAGGAUUUCGGUUCGUAAAACUCUGUUGUUAGAGAAGAACAGCGCAUAGAGUAACUGUUAUGCGUGUGACGGUAUCUAACCAGAAAGCCACGGCUAACUACGUGCCAGCAGCCGCGGUAAUACGUAGGUGGCAAGCGUUGUCCGGAUUUAUUGGGCGUAAAGCGAGCGCAGGCGGUCAAUUAAGUCUGAUGUGAAAGCCCCCGGCUCAACCGGGGAGGGUCAUUGGAAACUGGUUGACUUGAGUGCAGAAGAGGAGAGUGGAAUUCCAUGUGUAGCGGUGAAAUGCGUAGAUAUAUGGAGGAACACCAGUGGCGAAGGCGACUCUCUGGUCUGUCACUGAAGCUGAGGCUCGAAAGCGUGGGUAGCAAACAGG